CGUAGGAUCCAAGCGUUAUCCGGAAUCAUUGGGUUUAAAGGGUCCGUAGGCGGGUUUAUAAGUCAGUGGUGAAAGCCCAUCGCUCAACGAUGGAACGGCCAUUGAUACUGUAGAUCUUGAAUUAUUAGGAAGUAACUAGAAUAUGUAGUGUAGCGGUGAAAUGCUUAGAGAUUACAUGGAAUACCAAUUGCGAAGGCAGGUUACUACUAAUGGAUUGACGCUGAUGGACGAAAGCGUGGGUAGCGAACAGGAUUAGACACCCUGGUAGUCCACGCCGUAAACGAUGGAUACUAGCUGUUCGGAGCAAUCUGAGUGGCUAAGCGAAAGUGAUAAGUAUCCCACCUGGGGAGUACGUUCGCAAGAAUG
This 366-nucleotide ribosomal RNA is filed under the name uncultured organism. Its description in RNAcentral is "bacterial SSU rRNA". It matches the Rfam family "Bacterial small subunit ribosomal RNA", at positions 526 to 896 of the family's 1533-position model. The record is from RNAcentral.